RNAcentral lists this small RNA (101 nucleotides) under Flavobacterium omnivorum. RNAcentral's name for it is "Flavo-1 RNA". It matches the Rfam family "Flavo-1 RNA". Lineage: Bacteria; Pseudomonadati; Bacteroidota; Flavobacteriia; Flavobacteriales; Flavobacteriaceae. The record is from RNAcentral.
CCCUAGCCCUGAUAGUAGUGAAAAUCCUUUAAUCCUGAACUUGUUUCAGGAUUCUGAAACAAGUUCAGGAUUAAAGAUUGAAACGGAUAGCAGGAAGCAGC